CGUGGUGGUGCACGACGGCCGGAGGCGGGAAAAGAUCUUCGACUCCAGAGGGGGCGGAUGCGCGCACCAGUUCGGAGAGAAGGGGGACGCCGCGCAGGACGUUCGGUACGCGCUGGACGUCGCCGUCACCUUCGACUGCCACGUGGUUGUCACCGACGCGGGCGACCGCUCCGUCAAAGUGUUUGACUUUUUGGGCCAGGUCAGGCUUGUCAUUGGAGGCCAGUUCACCUUAAGAUCUUCGACUCCAGAGGGGGCGGAUGCGCGCACCAGUUCGGAGAGAAGGGGGACGCCGCGCAGGACGUUCGGUACGCGCUGGACGUCGCCGUCACCUUCGACUGCCACGUGGUUGUCACCGACGCGGGCGACCGCUCCGUCAAAGUGUUUGACUUUUUGGGCCAGGUCAGGCUUGUCAUUGGAGGCCAGUUCACCUUACCGUGGGGCGUGGAGGCCACGCCUCAGAACGGGGUCCUGGUCACUGAUGCUGAGGCCGGGUCCCUACACCUUGUGGAAGCGGACUUCCCCGAAGGGGUCCUGCGGAGAAACGAAAGGCUGUACACUCACCUGUGCGGCCCCCGAAGCGUGGCCGUGUCCUGGCUCAGCGGGGCCAUCGCCGUCCUGGAGCACCCCAUGUCCGCGGGGACCCAGCCCUGCAGCACCAGGGUGAAGGUGUUCAGCGCGAGCAUGCAGCUCCUCAGCCAGGUGGACACCUUCGGGCUGAGCCUCUUCUUUCCCUCCCAGAUAACUGCUUCCGCUGUGGCCUUUGAUCAGCAGGGGAAUGUGAUCGUGGCCGAUACCUCGGGACCAGCCAUCCUAUGCCUAGGAAAACCCGAGGAGUUCCCAGUGCUGAAGCCCAUGGUCACCCAAGGGCUUGCCCACCCCGUGGCACUGGCCUUCACCAAGGAGAAUUCAUUGCUCGUGCUAGACGCUGCGUCCCAUUCUGUAAAAGUCUACAAGGUCAACUCUGUUUCAUGGCCUCUGCUGGAAUGUCUCCUUUUGCAAAUAACACUCGGCUUUGCACACAUGCUGUCCCGGAGAACACAGCGACGUCCCCAAAUUUACCAACCGACCCUAGCCAGGGGGCCGUUCUCUCCUGCCAUUGCAUAAGUAAGCCCUAAUGGGUUCAGAGCCACAUUAUAAGUGCCAGGCAACUCCAUUCAGUUUCAUGGUUGUCGCAUGUGUGCCAGCAGUGCCCAUCCUUUCCUACAGAGAAGCCUUUGGAUACAGGGAGCACAAAGGACUUGAACACAGCUGACAUUUUCAGGAUACUUACUUCAAACAGCUGUUUAUUUGACCUUUGUAGCAUCUCUUGAAUUAGACAUGGUUUUAUUAAGAUGAUUUUCCAGGUUAAGGAGCUAAUAAAGGGAAUGACUUGCCCCAGAUGAUACAACUGAUUCCUGGUAUUUU
Molecule: long non-coding RNA, 1404 nt
Filed under: Fukomys damarensis (Damara mole-rat)
Lineage: Eukaryota; Metazoa; Chordata; Mammalia; Rodentia; Bathyergidae
Description: lncRNA (ENSFDAG00000030000.1)
Source: RNAcentral